Long non-coding RNA from Stegostoma tigrinum, 536 nucleotides. RefSeq lists it as uncharacterized. The transcript has 4 exons. The record is from RefSeq and is a predicted model, not a curated record. Lineage: Eukaryota; Metazoa; Chordata; Chondrichthyes; Orectolobiformes; Stegostomatidae.
CUUCCUGCUCCUUUGAUGCUGCUCGGCCUGCUGUGUUCAUCCAGCUCUACACCUUGUUAUCUCAUUUUUAGUAAUUUGUGCAACACGAGCAAUCCAACCUACCGCUACUAUCGAUGCUGCCUGACCUGCAGAUAUCCAGCAUUCUCCUGUUCUUCCCCAGAGGAUCUCUGAGUCACAGAUCAAUUCACAAAGAAAUUGUCAAAGAGGGAGACAAGAACUGGACACAGUACUCCAGAAGAGACGUCACCAACAUCUUGUACAAUCUCAACACGACGUCACACCUGCUGUGUUCAAAGGUCUGAGUGAUGAAGGGGAGACGGUGCCAUCAUGUGGAUGUCACAGGACUCAAUGCAGAGACACAGGCUGAUACUCUUGAAGAAGGGUCUCAACCCGAAACAUCAAACUUUCCUGCUCCUCUGAUGCUGCUUGGCCUGCUGUGUUCAUCCAGCUUCACACCAUGUUAUCUCAGAUUCUGCAGCAUCAGCAGUUCCUGCUAUCUCUGAUACUCUUGGGAUCGGGUUCAAAUGCCACCACAG